Oreochromis aureus is the source of this 2466-nucleotide long non-coding RNA. RefSeq lists it as uncharacterized. NCBI's taxonomy places the organism in Eukaryota, Metazoa, Chordata, Actinopteri, Cichliformes, Cichlidae. The transcript has 3 exons. The record is from RefSeq and is a predicted model, not a curated record.
AUUUGUCUUCAGAUUGUGUAUACAUUUUCAGUUUAGGCCUUUUGUUCUCCUCCGUAAAUUAAAAACUUGUGCACCCAAUUCUUGCUUUUUAAAGUCAUUAAAGAUACAAUACUGUACAAUCAUACCAUUCAGGUAAAAAAAAACAAAAAAAAAACAGUUCGGCUAAAUCAUUAAAAACCCAAAUUCCCAUAACACUCAUACCCAUAAAGAGUGAAUCUAAACUUCUCACCACACCUGUAUGAUUGCACAUUUGUCAAGAAAUUACUAUUCCUGUUACCAAUUUUGCCCAGCAAAAUAUAUGUGGAGGGGCCAAAGACUUUGUACAUUACCAUACACAAAACAAAACUAUGAUUUGUUUAAGGUCUGUCAAUAUCAAACAUUAAAAUAGUUGACAGCAAAGGGUCCACAAUUAAAAAGUUUUUCUAGCAAUACAAAGUCCUGUGUCACCUCUAAGGUUCAAACAUGUAAAGUGAAACACACACUUGUUUCAUAGCACAUGAAAAUAAAAACAAACAAAAUAUUAAAUCAUGAUACAUCCUAAGUGCAGAGCCAGCACUGGAUAGUUCAGGUGUACUAUAAUCAAGUGGUAAUGUAAAAAGUAAACUUAUAUACAUAAAUCUAAUACACAGAACAAAGUUUAAAACAUCUGAAGAAACUAUUCCCCAAACCCAGCUGUGUAAAAACACUGGACAAAGGAACAUUAACUUACACGUUACAAUGUGCAUUAAAUGUGCAGUUACUAAAGAAGACGAAUGAAUUAGGAACGUGUUGAUAGUUAUUGGAUCUUUUGUAAGUACUUCAGUAAUAACUUCACACUCGAUAAUUUUCUUUUUUUCCAAGUGUUUGAAUUAGAUUUAAGAAGAAAGAGACAAUUAUGAACGAAUGAUUACAUAACAAUUCAGCCCUAGUAACUAUUUUUGAAUUCUUUCUUUCUUCCACACUUGUUCUUUAGUAACUACACUCCAUGGUGUGGAAUGCAUUUUGUAUCCUAACCCUGGAUGACCUGGCAACAAAAUAAAGUUAAGUCAAAGACCACAUGCAGGCUGACUGACCGUUACUGAAUAAAACUUCAGUAUCUUACCUCCUUAGUGUGAAAUGUAUUAAAAAAGAUAUUACCUCAAGAAGAACUGCUAAGAUACCAAGAACAUACCCACAGAAACAAACAAGAAUGCUAUUACCAAUAUUUUUAUCUGUACGAUAUCAAUGGUCAGAUAUUGCUUUUUUUUUCUAGUAUGAAUAUAAAAAGAAAUAAAUUAAAUAAUAACUGAAGUGUAUGCAGUGACUUUUAAGAUGACUUUAUUGACCAAAUCAUGGUCAAAUCACAGCAGUGGGUCACUUAAAAAAAAACCGGUAUGAGAACAGGUUUUGUUAUCACGAACACUUUUCUGCCCAUUGUUUCAGCAAAUUAUUCUUUAAAGCAUGAACCCCAGGCAGAGCACUGAGUACCAAGACCCAUGAACACCUUUUGAAUUACUUCAAAAGUGUACCUUAAGUCCUUUAGAUGAUCCAGGUUAAGUGCAUAGAUGAGUCCAAGCAAAAGUGCAACUGCAGUUGAGAAGUCACAGACGUCAUUGAGGUCAAUCUGAUCCUCAAUCACCAGGGCAAUGCUUCUGUUGGACUUGAGCAGAUGGUCCCAAAUUACUGACAUUUUUGUGUCCAAGGCUCCAAGUUUCUUCUAAGUUAUGAUGAAAGGGCUUUUACAAUUUUGUUUUCUUUUAAUUCUUUACCAGAAAUAUUUUGUUCACAAUUUAAAAGAAACUAACGGUGUGUUCACACCGGACGCAAUAGAAGCGACCAAAAAGCGCCACACGCCCCUAGCUGGUCGCUCGCACAUUCGCACCUCGAAGCGCGUUCAAAGCAAACUGGUCGCACUUUCAAAUAUGCAAUUUUCACGUGCGUGAACCGGAAAUGUGGGAGGAAGUAGUGCCAGACAGUAUGUUUGCAAGAUGGCAGCUGUCGAUCUAGCGUUUGAGGAGAGAGUCUCCCUUCUCUAUUUACUGUGGAGAGCAGAGCAGCGGCAUAAAGGACGUCCUCACCGUACCUGGGUCCAUCAGGUCCUCCACGAGUGUGAGCAGUUUGAUGAGUUUCACCACUUGCUCCACAAGCUGCGUCUGGCUGACGGCCACUUUCAGCGGUACCACCGUCUGUCCCUCACCCAGUUUGAGGAGCUGCUGUCCCGCGUCGGUCCAAGCAUCGCCCGCCUAGACACCAACUACAGGUGCUCACUCCCACCUGCAGAGCACCUGUCCAUCUGUCUGCGAACAUCACGGCUCUUUGAGGAUAGAAACCUGUAGCGUGGCAGCUGACUGGAGAGGAGGGAGUCUUCUGGAGGAGAGAGACUGAGGGAAGAACUGCAAAGAGAAACAAAUUCAGUGGCAGCUAUGAAGAUGAGAAGAACCAGAACAACCACUGCAGAAGUGACAGAGAUCAUCAUGUCAGCUGGCCUUAUAAAAGAUGAGUAAAAAA